Alosa sapidissima (American shad) is the source of this 527-nucleotide long non-coding RNA. RefSeq lists it as uncharacterized. The transcript has 3 exons. Lineage: Eukaryota; Metazoa; Chordata; Actinopteri; Clupeiformes; Clupeidae. The record is from RefSeq and is a predicted model, not a curated record.
UUUUUUUUUUAUUACUGGUGAGUUUUCUCAUCUCCAUGAAAUGUCUAGCAAUUAGCGUCUUCUCUUUCUUUUUCUUUUCUUUCUCUUGUUGGUUCAUUUAGUUAUUGUUUCAUUGUAGAGAUAGAUAGAUAGAUAGAUAGAUAGAUAGAUACUUUAUUGAUCCCCAGGGGAAGCUUAUGUGUAAAAAAAGUUUUACUUGUAUUUUUCUUUUGGCUAACAUACUUAUUGAGUGCAGCCCUUGGAGGGAGGCCCAAGAUCUGCCACGCCUUCUACACCUGAUUGUGAUUCUUUUUUCACAUAAUGGGCGCUCCUGUCCAUGCUAUGCAAGGACUCUGAGGAAGAUACAUGAAGCAUCGAAACGUUAUUAAAAGAAUGACUCAGGUUCCUGAGGAGCUGACCUGAAUGACCAUUAUGGCCUCAAUCCGUUGUGCCUCUAUAUUCUUUGCAAAAUGCAAUGAAUAUUUACAGAGCUGACCAUGGCCGUUUGAGAAUCAGAGGAAUGGAAAGGCAAUGAAGUGACUUGGACA